Molecule: ribosomal RNA, 890 nt
Filed under: uncultured bacterium
Lineage: Bacteria
Description: bacterial SSU rRNA
Rfam family: Bacterial small subunit ribosomal RNA
Source: RNAcentral
GUGCCAGCAGCCGCGGUAAUACGGAAGGUCCGGGCGUUAUCCGGAUUUAUUGGGUUUAAAGGGAGCGCAGGCCGAUGAUUAAGCGUGACGUGAAAUGCUGGGGCUCAACCUUAGGAUUGCGUCGCGAACUGGUUGUCUUGAGUGUGUGCGAUGUUGGCGGAAUUCGUGGUGUAGCGGUGAAAUGCUUAGAUAUCACGAAGAACUCCGAUUGCGAAGGCAGCUGACAAGUACAUUACUGACGCUAAAGCUCGAAAGCGCGGGUAUCGAACAGGAUUAGAUACCCUGGUAGUCCGCGCGGUAAACGAUGGAUGCUCGUUGUUCGGUAUUGUUUAUUGAGCGACUAAGCGAAAGCAUUAAGCAUCCCACCUGGGGAGUACGCCGGCAACGGUGAAACUCAAAGGAAUUGACGGGGGCCCGCACAAGCGGAGGAACAUGUGGUUUAAUUCGAUGAUACGCGAGGAACCUUACCCGGGCUUGAACUGCAGCAGAACGAUAGAGAGAUCUUGAGGUCCUUCGGGACUGCUGUGGAGGUGCUGCAUGGUUGUCGUCAGCUCGUGCCGUGAGGUGUCGGCUUAAGUGCCAUAACGAGCGCAACCCUUCUCGUGAGUUACCAUCAGGUAAUGCUGGGGACUCUCGCGACACUGCCACCGUAAGGUGUGAGGAAGGUGGGGAUGACGUCAAAUCAGCACGGCCCUUACGUCCGGGGCUACACACGUGUUACAAUGGCGCGUACAGAAUGUCGGUCAUGGGCAACCAUGAUCCAAUCUUGAAAACGCGUCUCAGUUCGGAUUGGGGUCUGCAACCCGACCCCAUGAAGCUGGAUUCGCUAGUAAUCGCGCAUCAGCCAUGGCGCGGUGAAUACGUUCCCGGGCCUUGUACACACCGCCCGU